RNAcentral lists this ribosomal RNA (196 nucleotides) under uncultured bacterium. RNAcentral's name for it is "partial 16S ribosomal RNA". It matches the Rfam family "Bacterial small subunit ribosomal RNA", at positions 337 to 524 of the family's 1533-position model. The record is from RNAcentral.
UCCUACGGGAGGCAGCAGUGGGGAAUUGUUCGCAAUGGGCGCAAGCCUGACGACGCAACGCCGCGUGGAGGACGAAGAUCUUCGGGUCGUAAACUCCUGUCGAGCGGGACGAAUGUUCCGCGAGCUAAUAUCUCGUGGAAGUGACGGUACCGCUAAAGGAAGCCCCGGCUAACUCCGUGCCAGCAGCCGCGGUAAU